AAUUCGAUGCAACGCGAAAACCUUACCUACCCUUGACAUGCUAGGAACUUGCCAGAGAUGGCUUGGUGCCCGAAAGGGAACCUAGACACAGGUGGCUGCAUGGCUGUCGUCAGCUCGUGUCGUGAGAUGUUGGGUUAAGUCCCGCAACGAGCGCAACCCUUGUCAUUAAUUGCCAUCAUUCAGUUGGGCACUUUAAUGAGACUGCCGGUGACAAACCGGAGGAAGGUGGGGAUGACGUCAAGUCCUCAUGGCCCUUAUGGGUAGGGCUUCACACGUAAUACAAUGGUCGGUACAGAGGGUUGCCAACCCGCGAGGGGGAGCCAAUCCCAGAAAACCGAUCGUAGUCCGGAUUGCAGUCUGCAACUCGACUGCAUGAAGUCGGAAUCGCUAGUAAUCGCGGAUCAGCAUGUCCGCGGUCGAAUACGUUCCCGGGCCUU
Molecule: ribosomal RNA, 437 nt
Filed under: uncultured Methylophilaceae bacterium
Lineage: Bacteria; Pseudomonadati; Pseudomonadota; Betaproteobacteria; Nitrosomonadales; Methylophilaceae
Description: bacterial SSU rRNA
Rfam family: Bacterial small subunit ribosomal RNA
Source: RNAcentral